GUGUGAAGAAGGCCUUCGGGUUGUAAAGCACUUUCAGUUGUGAGGAAAAGUUAGUAGUUAAUACCUGCUAGCCGUGACGUUAACAACAGAAGAAGCACCGGCUAACUCCGUGCCAGCAGCCGCGGUAAUACGGAGGGUGCGAGCGUUAAUCGGAAUUACUGGGCGUAAAGCGCACGCAGGCGGUUUGUUAAGCUAGAUGUGAAAGCCCCGGGCUCAACCUGGGAUGGUCAUUUAGAACUGGCAGACUAGAGUCUUGGAGAGGGGAGUGGAAUUCCAGGUGUAGCGGUGAAAUGCGUAGAUAUCUGGAGGAACAUCAGUGGCGAAGGCGACUCCCUGGCCAAAGACUGACGCUCAUGUGCGAAAGUGUGGGUAGCGAACAGGAUUAGAUACCCUGGUAGUCCACACCGUAAACGCUGUCUACUAGCUGUGUGUGCCUUUAAGGCGUGCGUAGCGAAGCUAACGCGCUAAGUAGACCGCCUGGGGAGUACGGCCGCAAGGUUAAAACUCAAAUGAAUUGACGGGGGCCCGCACAAGCGGUGGAGCAUGUGGUUUAAUUCGAUGCAACGCGAAGAACCUUACCUACACUUGACAUGCUGAGAAGUUACUAGAGAUAGUUUCGUGCCUUCGGGAACUCAGACACAGGUGCUGCAUGGCUGUCGUCAGCUCGUGUCGUGAGAUGUUGGGUUAAGUCCCGCAACGAGCGCAACCCUUGUCCUUAGUUGCCAGCCUUAAGUUGGGCACUCUAAGGAGACUGCCGGUGACAAACCGGA
RNAcentral lists this ribosomal RNA (770 nucleotides) under Alteromonas sp. M16B. RNAcentral's name for it is "bacterial SSU rRNA". It matches the Rfam family "Bacterial small subunit ribosomal RNA", at positions 401 to 1167 of the family's 1533-position model. Lineage: Bacteria; Pseudomonadati; Pseudomonadota; Gammaproteobacteria; Alteromonadales; Alteromonadaceae. The record is from RNAcentral.